GGAGCUACAGUACUGUACUUAUACCACACGUCUAAAAGUCCGAACUCUAAAGAUAUCAGGAAGAGGAAGUUCAUUCCACCACCUCGCUAUCAGAACAGAGAACAGUACUGAUGAGAACCUUCCUUGUACCCUGAGAGAUGGUGGGAGCAGUGAAGCAGUGUGAGAAGAUCUGAGUGCAGUGUGAGGAGAGAGAAGAGCUUUGAGGUGCAGAACUGAAAUAUGCCCCGACACGUUUCUAGAGCCAGAGCCCAAAUGCCUGCAACAGGCAGAAUGAGAACUAAUACAGGAUUUGGUGGAAACAGACAUCACACAACAAGAACACAUUAUAAUCCAGGUGUUAGAGGAAACUUCCAUCACAACAAGAGGACAAAACCUAAUCCAGGUCAGAUUUUUAUUUUGAUUUCAUUUUGUCCAUAAAUCUCAGCAC
Molecule: long non-coding RNA, 427 nt
Organism: Tachysurus vachellii
Lineage: Eukaryota; Metazoa; Chordata; Actinopteri; Siluriformes; Bagridae
Exons: 5
Source: RefSeq, a predicted model, not a curated record